This 229-nucleotide ribosomal RNA is filed under the name uncultured bacterium. Its description in RNAcentral is "partial 16S ribosomal RNA". It matches the Rfam family "Bacterial small subunit ribosomal RNA", at positions 568 to 796 of the family's 1533-position model. The record is from RNAcentral.
UGCGCAGGCGGACUAUUAAGUCAGUGGUGAAAUCUCUCGGCUCAACCGAGAAACUGCCAUUGAAACUGAUAGCCUUGAGUAUGGUUGUGGUAGGCGGAAUAUAGCAUGUAGCGGUGAAAUGCUUAGAUAUGCUAUAGAACACCGAUCGCGAAGGCAGCUUACUAAACUAUCACUGACGCUCAUGCACGAAAGCGUGGGGAGCAAACAGGAUUAGAUACCCUGGUAGUCC